UUCGUAGGCGGUGUGGCAAGUUGGGAGUGAAAUCUCUGGGCUUAACCCAGAGGCUGCCUCCAAAACUGCUGUGCUUGAGUGUGGGAGAGGCGCGUGGAAUUGCAGGUGUAGCGGUGAAAUGCGUAGAUAUCUGCAGGAACACCCGUGGCGAAAGCGGCGCGCUGGACCACAACUGACGCUGAGGAACGAAAGCUAGGGGAGCAAACAGGAUUAGAUACCCUGGUAGUCCUAGCCCUAAACGAUCAGGACUUGGGGUGCCGCCCGUUCGGGCGUCGUCCCGGAGCUAACGCGUUAAGUCCUGCACCUGGGGAGUACGGUCGCAAGACUGAA
RNAcentral lists this ribosomal RNA (330 nucleotides) under uncultured bacterium. RNAcentral describes it as "bacterial SSU rRNA". It matches the Rfam family "Bacterial small subunit ribosomal RNA", at positions 568 to 898 of the family's 1533-position model. The record is from RNAcentral.